GCACCACGAGCUUUUUGGAA
This 20-nucleotide microRNA is filed under the name Ciona intestinalis (vase tunicate). RNAcentral describes it as "cin-miR-4014-2-5p". Lineage: Eukaryota; Metazoa; Chordata; Ascidiacea; Phlebobranchia; Cionidae. The record is from miRBase by way of RNAcentral.